RNAcentral lists this unclassified non-coding RNA (178 nucleotides) under uncultured Devriesia. RNAcentral describes it as "sequence contains ITS1". Lineage: Eukaryota; Fungi; Ascomycota; Dothideomycetes; Mycosphaerellales; Teratosphaeriaceae. The record is from RNAcentral.
CCGAGUGGAGGGCGCCCCGGCGCCCGACCUCCCAACCCGUUGAUUUGAUCAAGACCUCUUCUGCCUCGGGGGCGACCCGGCCUCCCCCUCUCGCGGGAGGGGGGUGACCCGGUCCCCCCGGCGGUCCAACACACAACCCUGCAUCAAUUGUCGUCGGAUAUUGAAGCGAAUUCAAUCA